AAAACAAAACAUCUCUCAAGGGCUGGCUGGGUGGCUCAGCUGAGUGUCCAACUCUUGACUUUGGCUCAGGUCAUGAUCUCAGGAUUGUAGGAUCAAGCCCUCUGCCAGGCUCUGCGCUCUGCUGGGAGUCUGUUCUCUCUCCCCAUCUGUCCUUCCCACUCUACCCUCCCUCCCCUCAUUCUCAAAUCAAUCAAUCAAUCUAUUUUUUUAAAAUCUCUCCAGAACCAGGACACACAGGAAGACAAUUGUGCCAAGAAAAUAUUUGGAAUUAGACGGUCUAAUUCUGGCCACUUACCAAGAAUGUUCUCAAUGGAAUGGAUAAAUAGCUACAUGAUGAGGAUUAAGAGAUGCAUCAGAAUCGCCCUUCAAAAGCCAGAGCUCUCCUUUUGCCUCCAAGGAAAUAGGACCUUACUUCCCAGGUACCUAGAAGCCGAGGAUGGGAGGAAGUGAGUGAGCACGUGCAUGGGGGCCUUCCUGAGUAGGAUUCUUGAGGUGAGGUGAUAAGAACAUCCCUUUUCUGCAAUGAUGACCCCAUGGACCCUGGUCCAAACCCAGAUUGAGGCUGAGGCUUGGAGAUACCUGAAGUCCUCUUCACUCGCAUGCCUGGCAUUGGAUCUGGACCUGGGAUAGCUGGAAAAUCUGGGGUAGACCAGGCCUCUCUCUCAAUGUGGGAAAACAUCUUGGGAUCCCUGAAGCAUAGUCAUAGUCUCAAGAAUUAUAUUUCUUCAGUUUCCUGAACUCACACAUGGCAGUCUGACCCUCUUUCGUCAAUGAAAUGUGAAGACAAUACGUGACACUUCAGGCAUCUCUGUAAGAACCCAUCCAUCCUUCAUCGUACUCUCUGUUCUCUCUGCUGGGAUGCCCAUCAGUAUUCCAGAAACCUGAAGUCUCAUCAGGCUGAGUGUGGCGUGAAAAUGACA
Molecule: long non-coding RNA, 920 nt
Organism: Canis lupus familiaris (dog)
Lineage: Eukaryota; Metazoa; Chordata; Mammalia; Carnivora; Canidae
Exons: 4
Source: RefSeq, a predicted model, not a curated record